UGCUAAGGUUCACUUUUCAGAGUGAUUAAUAGGGAACGGGGCGUAAUUCCCCGACUGUCUCGCAGCUGUGAGUCCCUUUAUAGUACUGAAGCAAGCAAUCCACUGCCCCUUAUUUCAUCUCGGGCGGGAAGGAGCAUCAGUAUGGGACGUAGUCAGAAGACCUGCCUUAAGC
Molecule: non-coding RNA, 172 nt
Filed under: uncultured Prevotella sp.
Lineage: Bacteria; Pseudomonadati; Bacteroidota; Bacteroidia; Bacteroidales; Prevotellaceae
Source: RNAcentral